GUCUGCAUGGAGCCGACCUUGAAAUACCACCCUUUAAUGUUUGAUGUUCUAACGUGGACCCGUAAUCCGGGUUGCGGACAGUGUCUGGUGGGUAGUUUGACUGGGGCGGUCUCCUCCUAAAGAGUAACGGAGGAGCACGAAGGUUGGCUAAUCCUGGUCGGACAUCAGGAGGUUAGUGCAAUGGCAUAAGCCAGCUUGACUGCGAGCGUGACGGCGCGAGCAGGUGCGAAAGCAGGUCAUAGUGAUCCGGUGGUUCUGAAUGGAAGGGCCAUCGCUCAACGGAUAAAAGGUACUCCGGGGAUAACAGGCUGAUACCGCCCAAGAGUUCAUAUCGACGGCGGUGUUUGGCACCUCGAUGUCGGCUCAUCACAUCCUGGGGCUGAAGUAGGUCCCAAGGGUAUGGCUGUUCGCCAUUUAAAGUGGUACGCGAGCUGGGUUUAGAACGUCGUGAGACAGUUCGGUCCCUAUCUGCCGUGGGCGCUGGAGAACUGAGGGGGGCUGCUCCUAGUACGAGAGGACCGGAGUGGACGCAUCACUGGUGUUCGGGUUGUCAUGCCAAUGGCACUGCCCGGUAGCUAAAUGCGGAAGAGAUAAGUGCUGAAAGCAUCUAAGCACGAAACUUGCCCCGAGAUGAGUUCUCCCUGAGACUUUAGGUCUCCUGAAGGAACGUUGAAGACGACGACGUUGAUAGGCCGGGUGUGUAAGCGCAGCGAUGCGUUGAGCUAACCGGUACUAAUGAACCGUGAGGCUUAACCUU
RNAcentral lists this ribosomal RNA (757 nucleotides) under Salmonella enterica. RNAcentral's name for it is "partial 23S ribosomal RNA". It matches the Rfam family "Bacterial large subunit ribosomal RNA", at positions 2174 to 2925 of the family's 2925-position model. Lineage: Bacteria; Pseudomonadati; Pseudomonadota; Gammaproteobacteria; Enterobacterales; Enterobacteriaceae. The record is from RNAcentral.